RNAcentral lists this ribosomal RNA (460 nucleotides) under uncultured bacterium. RNAcentral describes it as "partial 16S ribosomal RNA". It matches the Rfam family "Bacterial small subunit ribosomal RNA", at positions 338 to 795 of the family's 1533-position model. The record is from RNAcentral.
CCUACGGGGGGCAGCAGUGAGGAAUAUUGGUCAAUGGGCGCGAGCCUGAUCCAGCAACGUCGCGUGAAGGAUGAAUGCCCUACGGGUUGUAAACUUCUUUUAUAAAGGAAUAAAGUGAGGCACGUGUGCCUUUUUGUAUGUACUUUAUGAAUAAGGCUCGGCUAACUCCGCGCCAGCAGCCGCGGUAAUACGGAGGUUCCGAGCGUUAUCCGGAUUUAUUGGGUUUAAAGGGAGCGUAGAUGGGUUGUUAAGUCAGUUGUGAAAGUUUGCGGCUCAACCGUGAAAUUGCAAUUGAUACUGGCAGCCUUGAGUGCAGUUGAGGUAAGCGGAAUUCGUGGUGUAGCGGUGAAAUGCGUAGAUAUCACGAAGAACUCCGAUGGCGAAGGCGGCCUACUAAACUGCCACUGACAUUGAUGCUCGAAAGUGUGGGUAUCAAACAGGAUUAGAUACCCCAGUAGUC